CUUUUUUUUAGCAGAUCUGUCUAUAUAAGGUUUUGAAGUUGCUUUUUGUGGAUUACAGGACACGCUGACUGCCAGUCACCUGUUGAACCAACUAAAUAUACAACAGUUAUUUUCUCUUGUCUCUGCAAUCUUCCCAGCUCCAAUUUAAAAACAUGGGGAACGAGACUUCACGCUCAAAUACCCACGUGGCCAACGCAACCGGGAAGCAUCUUCGGAUUUUCUAUGGAGUGGAUACAAUGAGGCUGGAAGAAAUGGUGAUAAAUGUGGGAGCAGGGAUAGAAGGUAAAGCAUCAAAAACUGAAAAAUCAGUAUCAGGGCACAUUUCCACCGAUGUGAAGAUGGUUUUUAAACCAGACUCCCGGAUCCGUUACAUUCACCUGCCGCAGAACGAGACAUGUAACUUUGCCGGGGAAGGCACCAUCUAUGCCUCUGUCCUUUUGGAAGAUGAAAAAGACGAAAAAACUUGCAGUGGGGUCAUCUGCCAAAAUUUCCAUGUCCCCAGCGACAGGUCUUUUAUCGUUACUGCCAAUCAUACCAUCAAAUUGCAGAAGUAUGGUGCAAGCCUUUGGAUUGAUGAAGAGGGCCAUAACCAUCGACGUUAACUACCACAACAACCACACAUAACAACCACAAACAUCCUCUUUAUCCUCCUCCAUUAUCCAAUUUGAUAAGGUUUAUUUGAAUAUUAACAGUUUAGAUCAGUGGUUCCCAGCUUUUUUGACUCCAAGACACAUAAAAGCAGAGCUCAUACGUAGUUCUUAUGGAACGAGAAACCAAGCUUCAUGGCAAAAGUACUAGUUCAAUAUUUGGAGUCGGUAUCAAAUUAGAAGCAUCCAUGAAUUUGGAAUACAAGUACCAAGAGAUUGUCUGUUAAACACAUCAACAAAUUCUAAUGUUCCAUAGCUUAACAAAACUUGCAAUAUGAAAUAAACUUCACAUUUUGCGAGGGAAAUGUUUUAUAUUGUUAUGUGUAACGAUUAAUGCAGAGUGCAUGCAUACACAAUGUUAUUCUGCUAAUAAAUUCCUGUAGGCCUAUUAACUUUGUAACAGCUGAAAUAAAAGUUUGAAUGGGAACGUUUACAUUAGAUCUAAAUAAAAAGUCUAGUGAAACUAUUUUGGGUGGCGGUGCUACAAAACUCAUGAAUAUUAUUUUAUGCACAAUAAAAAUUCUUUUAAAACCCCUUUUUUCGAUAAACAGUAAUUUUUAAAGACUGAUUAAGGGACUCAGAUAUUUCACAUAAUAUGGUAAUUAAAUCUCUACAUCUACCAUUAUCAGUCUUGGAAUUGUGUUAGGAGGAGAUUAACACAUACAGCAGAUAAAAAUCUUAAUUAAGAACAUGACUGAUUUGGUCUAGUGGUUAAUGUUUGUGUCUGGACUGCAGAGGUUCUGGUUUCUAAUUCAACCAAAUAUAACUUUUCAUGCUAAUAAACCAAGAUUGUGUCUGCACAUCAGUGGGUGGGUGUUAUACUUUAAAAAUAGAAUGCAAUAAAAGAUGCAGGGAGACAAGAUUAGCAGAAACACAUACACAUUUAUAGACCACCCCAGCAACGAGAAUCUGCACGAGAGCAUCGGUGACUAAAAUAACUACCUCACAAACACCUAUCUCCCAUCACACAGCCCAGCAAUGGAACACUCAGUUUAUAUAGGAAAGAAACACACUGUCUGCAGGGGCUCCCCAUUAACAAUCAGCUCGCCUGGUUACCCCACACCUGAUACUGAUUAAGAGAGAGCAAGACAAAGACAAAACUAGGGCUGCGCGACUAAUAGGGAGAUACAUCCACCAUCAGAUUUUAAGAACAGGUCAUUUGUUUCUCUAAAGGAGAACAGUCUCAGUACUAUGAUACGGUCUAAAUCCUGACUGGAAAUCCUCACAGAUACCAUUUAUCAAUAUUAAAUAUAUACCAAUAUAAGUAUCACUUGAUCAAAAGAGCCAUGCCACUUCAUGAUGUUCAUUCAUCACAAGUUAUUAUCAGGAAGAGUAAGCUCACCUGCUAGCUUCAAGGUUUGAAAGAUUUAAUUAGGUGUUAAAAGUGAAGUGAGUAAAGUGACAUCCAGCCAAGUAUGGUGACUGUAAAUGCACUUCCCCCACCUACAAUUCCUGCCGGCCCGAGACUCGAACUCACAACCUUUCGAUUGCCAGUCCGACUCUCUAACCAAUCAUCAUUUAUUCAGUGACUUAAUUAUCUCAUUAACUUUAACUCUUUAAGGACUUGGGAUAUGACUUGAAGACUGCUUGUAACUUGAAAGUCUCACCUCUGUCUUUUAGUAAUCCUGAAGACACUGAUUAGCGUGUUCAGGUGUGUUUGAUCAGGGUUGGAGCUAAACUCUGCAGGGCUUUUUUGCCCAUGCCUGAUAUAGACACACACCCUCUUUCAGCCAGAUUUUUCAUGUUGAAAAGCAUGCUUUUUUUAUAAUCCAAUCUGUGACUCAAAAUUCGUAAUACAAUCUAAACUGUGAGUUUUACAAUACAUUGCACCACUCAUGUCGGUACAAGCAUGACACCUUAGGCUGGAUUCCAUUUCAGUUUUUCUAAUUCUUUCAUUAUUUCCUGAUGAUAACGUUCACUUAUGUGCCAUGACUUGCCCUUGUAUACUGUAACUUGCAUAUCUUCUCAUAUCUGUGUCAGUUCCUCAUACACAACAAAAUACCUAGUGUCAAAUUAACAGAAUCACUGAAGGAAAGAAAAACACGACAACUACUCCUACAACUGACUUCUGCCACAGUCUUAAAAGAAAUCAACUGAAAUACAAGACAUUAAAUCUUUCAAUAGCUGAUUAAACAACCCCACAAACAGCAUCACUUGGUCUAGUUAUUAAAGGGAUACUCCACCAUUUUUUCAUAUUAAAUUAUGUUAUUCCCUUAACUAAGACGAGUUGAUAUAUACCUCUCUCGUCUCAGUGCGUGCACUAAAUCGCUCUGUCUUGCGGCAAAACUUUGUUAGCACUUUGCUUAGCCCAGUUCAUUCAAUCGGGGCCAAGCAGAGAUGCUACCAAACACCUCCAUGUUUUCCCUAUUUAAAUACAGUUACUCGAGUGGUGUAACUCGACCUAGGACAGUGACACACAAACAAAAUGUUGCACUUUUCUAAGCAUGUAAAAUGGAUAACUAUAUUGUAUGGCGGAAUACCAUAGCAAGUGCUCGGGAGCACUUUGACAUGGCGCAGUAAUAUCUUCACUCGUGAAAAGUCCUCUCACCGGCCCCCGCUCCUUCUCCUCCUCCCUCUCAUUUCUGUCAAUGGAACCAACGUGACUUUUACCACUUGUGCUAUUAGCAAACUGCAAAAGAUCAUUUGCAAUGGCGGACUUUGUAGAUGAUUAUGACUUGUUUGUAGCAGACCCAGAGCCAUAUCUGUUUGAACCAGAGUACACGGAGGAGGAAUUAGCUAUUAUGGACCGUGAGAGGGGAAAAAAAGAUAUGAACCAGAACAGACCGGAGCCGGCGAAAGAACAUGGGCAAACAGCAAUUGGUAGUGCAAGUGUGACUGUGGCGAACAGAUGCCGACCGAGAUUGAGAGCUUGUGCCGUUCAGAAUGGGACCAGGUGUUGCCAUCGAUGGUGGGGGUCAAUGUAGAUUCAGAAGACCUGGACAAAUUGCCUGUGUCGCGGCAAGCGACUUGUUUGCAGCGAUGAUUCACCUGGCAGUCGUCAAAUUUUUCUUUCAUCUUGACAAAGUCAAUUGGAGGAAACGACCCACCCCGAGUGGACCAGAUGGCCAGCUAUCGUCAGAUCAAAAUAGGUUGGUUUCCUACCGGAUAGUGCUGGAAUGGCCCCUACAGGGUGAAACUUUGGGCAGAGGCAAUCAGAAACCACUGCCAUCAUGUGUGGUCGAGACUAUGCGACAAAGAUAUCCUUCUGAGUCCGGUGUCUAUGUUGGAUUUCAAGAACUACAUGAGACAAUGGAUAUGUAGGCAUAUGACUGUUACUGGACAAUAUGUGCUGGGCCCUGAAUUCAGACCUAAAUUAUGUUUACAUGUUUCAUAGACAUCUGUGGGACAAUUGCACUGCAGCUUGCAUCAGAAUAGUUGAUCUGUUUGUAUAUUUUUCUAUAUUACAACCAUUAUGUAGAUGUCUUUCUAUCACUUUUUUUAUUUUCAAUUUCUUCAUUUGUAUUCAAUU
This is a long non-coding RNA of Carassius gibelio (silver crucian carp), 4116 nucleotides long. RefSeq lists it as uncharacterized. The transcript is spliced from 3 exons. NCBI's taxonomy places the organism in Eukaryota, Metazoa, Chordata, Actinopteri, Cypriniformes, Cyprinidae. The record is from RefSeq and is a predicted model, not a curated record.